This 384-nucleotide ribosomal RNA is filed under the name uncultured Methanosaeta sp. Its description in RNAcentral is "bacterial SSU rRNA". It matches the Rfam family "Archaeal small subunit ribosomal RNA", at positions 955 to 1338 of the family's 1478-position model. The record is from RNAcentral. Lineage: Archaea; Methanobacteriati; Methanobacteriota; Methanomicrobia; Methanotrichales; Methanotrichaceae.
CAGGCUGAAGACCUUACCGGAUUAGCUGAGAGGUGGUGCAUGGCCGUCGUCAGUUCGUACUGUGAAGCAUCCUGUUAAGUCAGGCAACGAGCGAGACCCACGUCCACAGUUGCCAGCAUACCCUCCGGGGUGAUGGGUACACUGUGGAGACCGCCGCUGCUAAAGCGGAGGAAGGAAUGGGCAACGGUAGGUCAGUAUGCCCCGAAUCUCCCGGGCUACACGCGGGCUACAAUGGUUGGUACAAUGGGCAUCUACCCCGAAAGGGGAAGGAAAUCUCUUAAAGCCAAUCGUAGUUCGGAUUGAGGGCUGCAACUCGCCCUCAUGAAGCUGGAAUCCGUAGUAAUCGCGUUUCAACAGAACGCGGUGAAUACGUCCCUGCUCCUU